RNAcentral lists this ribosomal RNA (254 nucleotides) under uncultured bacterium. RNAcentral's name for it is "partial 16S ribosomal RNA". It matches the Rfam family "Bacterial small subunit ribosomal RNA", at positions 524 to 776 of the family's 1533-position model. The record is from RNAcentral.
CACGUAGGGUGCAAGCGUUGUCCGGAAUCAUUGGGCGUAAAGAGCUCGUAGGCGGCUUAGUAAGUCGGGUGUGAAAACCCCAGGCUCAACCUGGGGACGCCACCCGAUACUGCUAUAGCUAGAGUCCAGUAGGGGAGUGUGGAAUUCCCAGUGUAGCGGUGAAAUGCGCAGAUAUUGGGAGGAACACCAAUGGCGAAGGCAGCUCGCUGGGACGGUACUGACGCUGAGACGCGAAAGCGUGGGGAGCAAACAGG